This 1217-nucleotide long non-coding RNA is filed under the name Equus caballus (horse). RNAcentral describes it as "lncRNA (ENSECAG00000040620.3)". Lineage: Eukaryota; Metazoa; Chordata; Mammalia; Perissodactyla; Equidae. The record is from RNAcentral.
CUUAUUCUCAAAUUUGGUAGGGUUAGCUGGUCAUUUGGAACCAGCAGGGAAAGCAAGGUCAAUGACUCCAGGUAUUUGUUCUUGUCUCUGCCAUCAACCUGCUUGGUGUCCUUGGGUGAGACCCUUCAGACCAGGAUCUUCAUUUACAAAGUGAGAAUGGAUCGACAUAGCCCUGCUUGUAUAUUAUGUGACUCAGGAGCAGAGAAAGAAAAGUAACUAUUGUCAAUAGGAGUAACGCUGGAUUGGACAACUCCCGUCUUACUUCCUGAGGAGCAGCACUGUAGUAGCCAAGCAACCUGAAGGAUUUGAUAUAACAGCAGGAGUUUCCGGGCAAAGCCAAUGUCUGGGCCAGUGUUUGCAACCUGGAUAACAGCAUUGUUUUAGCAAUCAGAGAAUGGAAGCUGGGGAUAAAGUUUGAGUGAGGCUCGGGGAGACAAAACCAGCAUUCAUCUACAGCACAUGAAAAUGAAUUGGCCCAUCAGCUUUCAACUGAAUAUAGUAGCACUGUGUCUUGCUACAUACAGAGAGAGUGAAAGAAGGAGGAACAGAUCACAAGGUGUCACCCAGUUUUGCUGCAGCUCACGUGCUUCCAUGGGAGGACAUUUGCAUGGGCGUGACUACGAUUCAAUUGGUGAAUUUCAGAAGAAGAAGUGGUUAAUCUCAUUGCCAUCAGUACCAGUCAGCUCGAGCUGCCGGAACAGAAUACCAUAGGCUGGAUGGCUUAAACAACAGGAAUUUAUUUUCUCCCAGUUCUGGAGGCUGAGACGUCCAAGAUCAAGGUGCCAGCAGGUUCGUGUCUGCCUCUAUGCAGACAAAUAUUAUAUUUUCCGUCCACCACCAUAAUCAGCAAGUGCACCUGGGAAAAAAGAAAAAAAACAGCUUCAUAACAUCAGCUCACUUUCCAUGGUUUCUCACUCUCCAGAAUUUUUUUCUACCAAGACUUUUCAGUCAUUUCCAGUGGGAACAUUGACUGCCACAAAUAUUCUAUCCUACCUGGAAGUAGAAGUCAGAAAUACAAGCUAGCAUCUGUAUUCCUUUUUUUUUUUUUAAUGUGCAUGUAUAAUUUUAUUUGUUUUUAUUUUUUUAUUGUGGUAAGAUUGGUUUAUAGCAUUAUAUAAAUUUCAGGUGUAUAUCAUUAUAUUUUGAUUUUUGUGAGAGGUAGCAUUGAUGUUCUUAAAAAAAAUUUAAUCCUUACAGUCACCCUAUAGGAUAUGUAU